AGCAGAUCCCGAUUGGCAUCGUCGCCGAGUGGAACGUUCUCAAGAAUCGAACGCUCCACGUCAGCCGCUUCAGCUUCGGCGUCAAAGCAAAAAUCUGCGACAAUAGGACAAACAGACAAUAAGAGCCGAGUGCUACGCGCAUAACACUACCACUCGGAAAGAUAAGGACUUACCAGCCAGACGCGCCAUCAUCUGCCGAGCCCAGUCGCUGACAUAUUUCUCUUGUGCUCUACAUCGUUUGUUCAACACAUCCAUCUGACUCAUCAGCGCAGUCCUCUGCUUCCCCAUCUUUUCCACUUCCUCAGUCAACACCUUGUUCACUUCACGCGCCUGCUCCAAUGAUUUCUCCCGUUCCGCCAGGGCAUCCUUCAUGCCAGCCAUUGCAACCAUGGCCGCAUCAAGUUCGCCCGCGAACUGAUUUCUCUCCGCCUUGAGAUUCUCAUAGGCUGAUCCCAUUGCACAAGUUUUCUGCAAACAACAAACAAGGGACAAUCAGAAAGUUCAACAGUUAACAGUCUAAGUUUUUCAGACCCUUGCCGACGCAAGCAGUCGGCAACGGUCUCGGGGACUACACCCAGUGGGUUCACUAAGCAUGACCCCACUGGCAUGCACCUCAACCAGGCCUGCCCUAUUGAGAUGCAUGUUAUCAACUACGCCUCCGAGGCCAAUACUACCCGACCUGAGUACAACUUACUCUCGGGGACACUUACCGUAAGUGCAAUCCGACUGCAACAACUACUCGCACUCGGUACUCCUAUCUACAGACACAAC
Molecule: long non-coding RNA, 771 nt
Filed under: Hordeum vulgare
Lineage: Eukaryota; Viridiplantae; Streptophyta; Magnoliopsida; Poales; Poaceae
Description: long non-coding RNA (HVUL_LNC002225)
Source: RNAcentral